AGCAGGCUCCAGCUCAUUGUGUCCUGACUGCUCUGUCGAGGGUAUGCUUUGUCGCCGCAGUGGACAAGCUUCUAAGGAAGCCCCAAGGUGACCUGCAGUGUCCAGAGACCGAAGGUGUGCAGAUAUCUCUUGUCUGAGGAACCCUGCAGUUGUAAAGUUCCUCCCCUGCCUCCUCCCUACUCAGUGUUCCUCAGCUCACCAGAGAAAAGAAAUGGCUGUCAGCCACCUCCCAGCCCCGGUCCAGGACUCGGUGACCUUCGAGGAUGUGGCCGUGCUCUUCACCCAGGAGGAAUGGGGUCGGCUGAGCUCUGCCCAGAAGGCCUUGUAUCGGGAUGUAAUGCUAGAGAACUAUAGUAACCUGGUCUCACUGGGUCUCUCAGGAUCCCGACCAGAUAUGCUCUUUCCCCCGGAAGAAGUGGAAAAAUGUUUGUCAGAAGAGGCUCCCGAGGACUUUGUUCUGGGAGGGAUUACAAUGGCCAUGUGUAAGAAAUUCCUCAAGGCAGAUAUCCCUAAAAAAGAAUCAGAUCAAUGGAUAACAAAAGAAAGAGCCACCAGAGAGACUCACUGGGUAUGUGCUAACCUGUUAGAUUGGCAAUGCCAGGAAGGUCAGGAGGUCAAGUUGCAGCAAGUGGUCCUCACCCAACAGGACACUCCGUCAAAGCUGAGUGAACAGAAAGUCAAGGGUUCUGACAAGAGCCGUACAGCAAGCUCGUCACCCAUCCAACGUCAGAGAUCUCAAGCAAGCAAAAAAGCUUUUGAAUGCAGCAGAUGUGGAAAAGGCUUCUCUAAGAGUUCCACCCUUAAGAAGCAUCAGAAACUUCACACUGAGAAAUUCAAUGCAAGUCAGCAAACAAUGAAAGAAAAACGGUAUGAAUGCAGAGAAUGUGGGAAAACCUUCCACCAGAGUACACACCUCAUCCAUCACCAAAGAGUUCACACUGGCGAGAAACCAUAUGAGUGUAAGGACUGUGGCAAGACCUUCUCAGUGAGCUCUUCCCUUACCUACCACCAGAAAAUCCAUACCGGAGAAAAGCCCUUUGAAUGUAAUGUUUGUGGAAAGGCCUUUAUCCGGAACAUACAUCUUUCCCACCAUCGCAGAGUACAUACUGGAGAGAAACCUUUCCAAUGCAACAUUUGUGACAAAGCCUUUGUUUGCAGAGCACAUCUUACCAAACACCAGAACAUCCACAGUGGCGAGAAGCCCUAUAAAUGUAAUGAGUGUGGGAAAGCCUUCAGUCAGAGUACAAGUUUUCUGCAGCAUCAGAGAAUCCAUACUGGAGAGAAACCCUUUGAAUGCAAAGAGUGUGGCAAGGCCUUCAGGGUGAAUUCUUCCCUUAUUGAGCACCAGAGAAUCCACACUGGGGAGAAACCGUAUAAAUGUAUCGAAUGUGGCAAAGCAUUCAGGGAAAACUCAUCCUUUGCACGGCAUCGGAAAAUUCACACUGGAGAGAAACCUUACAGAUGUGGCUUGUGUGAGAAAGGUUUCAGGGACCAGUCAGCCCUAGCACAGCAUCAAAGAACUCACACCGGGGAGAAGCCUUACACGUGUAACACAUGUGAGAAAGCCUUCAGUGACCAGUCAGCCCUUACCCAACAUAAGAGAAUUCACACAAGAGAAAAACCGUACAAAUGUAAAACCUGUGGGAAAGCUUUUAUCCGAAGCACACACCUCACUCAACACCAGAGGAUUCACACGGGAGAAAAACCUUACAAAUGUAACAAAUGUGGGAAAGCUUUCACCCAGACUGCAAACCUCAUUCAGCAUCAGAGGCAUCACACUGGGGAAAAGUGAUGGGGAGGCAGUUCAUAAGUGCUGUGGGGAUGCUGUCAUAAUUAUUAAAUAGAAGAUAGUACAUGAUCACAAUGAAGUCUUUUAUCAUCAUGGUUGUGUUUACUGGGGGCCAGGUUUCAUCAUGCCUAGGGUCUUGAGAAUCUUAAGAAUGGUGAACACACCUUACUCUUCAGCCUGCCUCAGUUGGAUAGUAGUGCCUUUUUGUUGGCUUGAAUUACUACUAUCAGAACCAAAAUGAAACUUCAUUAAAAGUAUAAAUGCCAGUUUAUCAAAUUUACAAUUUUUAAAGAUAAUUACAAAGUUAUGAAACUUGAGAUUGCGAAGUGAAGGAACAAAAAAGUUAAGUAAAUAGUCUAUAAGUAUUUUGUUCUAGAUUUUCUCAUGUAAGAAAGGUGCUGUCUUUAGUAACAGAACCCUUUGUCUCUCCUCACCCCCAUCCCUGAUGCCCAGUGUGAAGCAGGUAAUCAAGUAAUUCAAGCAGGAGUCAAGAGUCAGUUACAUUAUGCUUCUCAUGUUUCUGCUACCCUUUGUCAGUCUCCUGGGUCUGCCUGCCCACUUGCUUCUUACCUGUGUUCAAGGAAGGUUCAUUUGACUUGUGUGACAAUCUUCUGACUUAGUUCCAGUUCUUACCACCAUUUUCCUUGUUAUCACCACCCUGGACCUCAUUCAUAAUGCAAGUCAGAAAUGCAAAAUCAGCAGGAUCCUCACAUCUCCAGCUUUCACGACUCAAGGUCUCUUUCUGGAGGCAAAGGUCAUCAAAGGUACCGUAUCGCCCAUUUGUACCCCCCUCAGCUAAAUAUGAUGCUGGUGUGAUACCUAUGUAGGGGGUUUUCCAUGAUAGCCAUUACCCUCUAGCCAUUCAAACCAUCAUCAGUUUUCCUCCAUCCUAAUGAGCUGCCUGGAGGGCAUUCACCUCAGAAGUGCCUGUGGCAUUCUGCUCAAGGAGUCUAAAGUUUCCUCACGUUUGUGGAAUCCCACCAACAGACACUGGAACUACCUGUCCUGUGGAGGGAAAAGUCCCCUUUCAAAUUUCUCUAGUCUUUCUCUUUGUCAGGAUUUCCUCAACUGCCCUGAUUUUACACAUGGGUUCCUUUCCCCUGUUUAUCUAAGAUUGGGUGACCCUGGCCAUCAUAGGUUGUGUGUCUGACCUGCCACCUUCUUCCAUAUCCACUGACUGCUAUCCAAAUGACCUUUUGGUGGUUGAAGGUCAGCUCAGAGGGAACGAGCACUUGCUGUUCUUCCCAAGGACUGGAGUCAGGCUCCCAGCACAUCAGAUGGCUCACAAACUGUCUGCAACUCCAGCUCCAGGUGAUCUGAUGCCUCCAAGGAGACUAGCCUUGUUAGCUGUGAGAAAUUAACUACUUUGGCCCAGGUCAUCCAUCUAGAAAGUGGUAGACUGUACCUAAGCUUGUUUUGUUUGUUUGUUGUUUAUGUGUUUGGUUUUUUUCUUUGCAUGUUUAUGUGAGUUAUUUUGCACUUGCCUGAUGCCUGUGAAAGCCAGGAGAGGGAGUUGGAGUCCCUGGAUGAAGUUAUUUCAUUGCCAAAGCAACUUCCAUGGGAAGAAAGGUUGAGAAGAGGUGAGUGAAGUUGGUCUUACCCAAGUCACAGCCUUCCUCUGAUGUGAGCAACUCAGACUGAGCAGAAGAACUAAUAAAAAAUACGGACUAAGCCUCCGAUCCAAACCUCAGAUUUUGCUGGACCUGAUAAUUCCAGGAGGGAUAACUCAAGGGCAGGUGAUACAA
Molecule: non-coding RNA, 3534 nt
Organism: Arvicanthis niloticus (Nile rat)
Lineage: Eukaryota; Metazoa; Chordata; Mammalia; Rodentia; Muridae
Source: RefSeq, a predicted model, not a curated record